GAUGAACGCUGGCGGCGUGCUUAACACAUGCAAGUCGAACGGAAAGGCCCAAGCUUGCUUGGGUACUCGAGUGGCGAACGGGUGAGUAACACGUGGGUGAUCUGCCCUGCACUUCGGGAUAAGCCUGGGAAACUGGGUCUAAUACCGGAUAGGACCACUUCUUGGAUGUUGUGGUGGAAAGUUUUUUCGGUGUGGGAUGAGCUCGCGGCCUAUCAGCUUGUUGGUGGGGUAAUGGCCUACCAAGGCGUCGACGGGUAGCCGGCCUGAGAGGGUGUACGGCCACAUUGGGACUGAGAUACGGCCCAGACUCCUACGGGAGGCAGCAGUGGGGAAUAUUGCACAAUGGGCGCAAGCCUGAUGCAGCGACGCCGCGUGGGGGAUGACGGCCUUCGGGUUGUAAAAUCCGUUCGCUAGGGACGAAGCGUUUUGUGACGGUACCUGGAGAAGAAGCACCGGCUAACUACGUG
RNAcentral lists this ribosomal RNA (467 nucleotides) under uncultured bacterium. RNAcentral's name for it is "partial 16S ribosomal RNA". It matches the Rfam family "Bacterial small subunit ribosomal RNA", at positions 28 to 507 of the family's 1533-position model. The record is from RNAcentral.